This is a long non-coding RNA of Triticum aestivum (bread wheat), 645 nucleotides long. RefSeq lists it as uncharacterized. The record is from RefSeq and is a predicted model, not a curated record. Lineage: Eukaryota; Viridiplantae; Streptophyta; Magnoliopsida; Poales; Poaceae. The transcript has 5 exons.
CGUCGUUGUCGCUCACGUGGAGUGUUAGGUGCUCGAGAGCCUCAAAAGUCAGAAGUCCCAGUUUUUUUAGCAAGUAGGAACGCCUUGCAAGCAUCACAAACUCUGAAAGAUCACAAGGUCAAACGUAAGACUACUUCAGCGGAGCGAGGAGACAAGAUCAAACGUAAGGCUACUUCAGCUAGCGUAAGGCUACUUGCGAUCUUUCAGAGCUUUGCUAGCGGAAGCAUAUCCCUGAAGCCAAAGCCUUGGGUCUCCGCUCCAUCCUGAUCCUGAAGCGCACAAGGAGGAGGUCACCACAGGUUCAAAUCCCUUCGGAUCUACAUCAACUACAAGCCAGGUAUAGUUGUUGUUCUCUGGUUUUGAUGGGUAAUAGGAGCAAGGAGGACAUCCAAAGUUGAAGUUCAGAUCCAGCUUAUUGUCAACAGGAACAAGCUUACACACUCUCGCCCAUACAACAAGACCAGCCUAGCACAAGCACCGUACGCAAAAUAAAUUUUCUCCUGGAAGGACGAGCCUCUUAAUUUGUGACAACGACAAGGUCUGGCGAGCAGGAAGUGGUCAUUCUAUUGAUAUUUGAGUAAGUAUACAACUAGGCGGCCACCCAUCAGAAGCCACGUAUGCUGGUGGUUCUCUGGUUUUGAUGUG